Molecule: long non-coding RNA, 3006 nt
Filed under: Gallus gallus (chicken)
Lineage: Eukaryota; Metazoa; Chordata; Aves; Galliformes; Phasianidae
Source: RNAcentral
CUUCAAUUCUUGGAUCCCAUACCAAAGAUGUAGAUGAGUGUCCAUUGAUAGUGGAAAAAGAAAAACUCCAGCUUAAUAUAAAACAAAGAUUUGGGCAAAGGAUGGUUAUCCUGCUCUUAUUUUUUCUGACGUGUGCGUGAGGAGGUCUUGCAGACCAGCACAAGAAAUUCAGUGAUAUGGAUCACAAGGAUUAUGAAUGCAAAUUGAAUAUAGAGACAAAGUAGUAGAUGACAUCAAGGAAAAGCCACCAAACAUCUGCUUAGAAGAAGACCAGCAUCUGCUAAAAACAACCAAAGACAUAUUUGGUCACCUGCAGGGUGACCAAACCCUUGCACUGCUCUACAAUGCUGCAAUAGCUCCAUUAUCCUGCCUGGUUUUGCUAGAGGAAAUUAAAAGAAGUGAGCAUCAAAAUUUUAAAGGUAUGAAGAGGGUAUGCAUUCCCUCCCUGUAGCAGUUCUAAACACUGUAGAAAAAAAGCAGCAGAUCUGCAAGAAGAGGUAGAAAGCUCUGCUGUAUUUACAUAUAAUGAUGUGAGUAAGCAUAAAGACACCACACACAAACAGAAGACAUGAACAAAAAGAUAGCAUAUUUUGGAAGAGAUGAUCUGUGUGUGAAAGAAGUUCUAGACACACUGGGCAAAUCCCAGUAAACAUUGAGAAAGUCAAGAAACAGAAAAAUUACUGAUUUGUAUUGUUUUGCUAAGAACUGACAUUCUGUGUGGCAUCUAAAGAAAAACAAAUGUGCACAAAACCUCUGCAAGCCUGUUGGCAACAUAUUUUUUUCUUGCAAAUCUAUGAGAACAGCAACUAUGGGUUCCUGGGAAAUGUGUAUCUAAGGCAGUCAGCGAUGAACCCAGAGCCAAGGGAAGCUCAGCUAUGAUGUGCCAUGUCUGGAAAAUGACACCAAUACCUUUACAAAGCAUUUUUGAAAGGACAAGUGUUGUCAGGACAUCCCUUGCAGAGCAAGGAAAGCUUGCAAGCAAAAAAGUGUACUGUGAUGGGCAUCCAGCUGGGAAGAGAUAUGAGUGCUAUAGAUACAGUUCUUAACCUUUCCUUUGUUAAAUUUAUAGUUUGAGCUCCCUCAGUCCCUCACAGUCCUUUAAUAAUUCUCCUGGCUUUCCUUUAAUCCUCUCCAAUUUAUCAAUGCCCUCUCUGAACUGAGGGAUCGAAAGUCACAGCCACACAAGGAAAUGCAGAAGCAGCAUGAUUCAUUUCUACUCAAUAUUUUCACGUUUAUAUCUCACAUUUGCUUCUUUUGCUCUGAAAUUGUACUGAGUGUUCAUGUUUGGUGUGACUUCUUACAUCUUUUUAAGAGCAGCCACUUUUCAAGGCAGAACUUGUCAGACUAGAAUCAGCUUCUACUCACACAUAAAUAGACUGAAAAUUGAGUCGACUGCACUGAAUUACAAACUGUAUAUUUAUUAUAUGUUUACUAAGUAACCCACAUUUCCCUUGUGAAUACGAUUUUUUUGUCAUUCCUUUAUGUGAGUGUACAUGCAUAAGCUGUAAAUUCAAUCAAGAGUGGUUUUGUUUCCAACCCAUUGAUAACAAUAUUAAAUAGUAAAAGGCCAAGAACUGAUCCUUGCAGACCUCAGACAUCAGUAAGAAAGCAGUGUUUAAUCAAUAUGAACUGUUCCACUGAUUUUCUAUCAUCUGGUUUCUUAAUCAAAAUGUCUUGUACUAAACCAAACAAUUUACAGAAAUGGAAAUGGUAAAUUGCACUAUCAGUGUUAUCAAUGAAACUUGUAAAAAGCCAGGCUGCCUAGUAUUUUUCUCAAUCAACGUCACAUUAAUUUGAUAAGUACAUAUUUAUACUAAGAAUGCCAAACCAGCUAGAUGCUGAGCAUUCAGGAGUUCACAUACAAAAUUCAGCACGACAACCAUGCUCAAUCAUCAUUAGAACUUUCAGGCAAAAAGAAGACAUAGACAUCAAUCAUCCGACAGUCCUUCUGAAGUAUAUCACUUUCCCCUAUUAGUCUCAAGUCAUGUUGUGACUAACACAUAGAGAGUUAUUAACCUCAACUUAAAGAAGAGGAAGAUAAUAAAAUUACUACAGAUAAUUCAACUAAUUUUUGUGUGUAUUUACUAAUUCAAAGAAAUAUACCUUAAAGGAGAUAUACGUGGUAAUUUCUUCCAAAAAUGAUACUUCUUGCACCUUAGGAAAAUGCCAUCACCCUCAAGAUUAUAUACUGUUUAAAUUUUGGAUAGUGAUGACAUAAAUACUGAAGCAAAAUGAAAUUUCACUUGACAUUGUCUACCUAGCCAGACCAGAAGUGUCUCAUUUCUUAGUGGAAGGAAAUGGCAUCUUGUACAGUCAGAUGUAUAAUGCUUGCACUGUCAGAUUAUUUAUUCCCAAGUGUCCUUAGCUAUGCUCUCAUUGAAGUAAGUGCAAAACUAAGAGGAUAUUCUUGAGCACUUGAAUACUUACAUGCAUGUAUUAUAUGUAUUCAUACAUAUUCCUUUGAUAAGGGCCAUAUAACAAUUUAAGAAAGAAACUGCCAGGGAAAUGGAUAUUAAUAUGCAAAAAUACACUGAAAAUAAAUAUAAUCACUGUAAUCUAGAAAGCUGGAUAUUGUGACAUUAUAGUGCCUAUCAAAUUUUAAAUGACUGCAUGUUAUGAGUACAUGAUGUGAUUAUAAUAUCUGUAUUUGUGAAAAAACUGAAAAUCAAUCUUUGUGGAAACUAACAUUGUCAAAAUUAGUGAUUACAGUAUAGAAAAUAUCAAGACAGUACUAAUGUUACGGACCUGAACAAGACUAGUGCAUGUAAAUAAAUGUUCCUCUUUAAAUAUACUCAUCUGUAACUGAAUUUUUUCUUUAGCAAAAUUAAACAAUGCAAACCUAUCUGCUAGAAUAUUGUACUCAUUUUGUACUUACACAAGUUUCUCCAUGUGGUGAUUGAUAAAGGAAAUAAGUCAUGGAUUAUCUUUUCAUUUAUGUUACUUUAAGUAGAAAUAUAUUCCUCGUAGUGAAGCUUCACACUUCACCGAACCACUGAUCUCAUAUCU